Molecule: ribosomal RNA, 373 nt
Filed under: uncultured organism
Description: bacterial SSU rRNA
Rfam family: Bacterial small subunit ribosomal RNA
Source: RNAcentral
CGGGGGGAGCAAGCGUUGUUCGGAUUUACUGGGCGUAAAGGGCGCGUAGGCGGCGCAACAAGUCACUUGUGAAAUCUCCGGGCUUAACCCGGAGCGGCCAAGUGAUACUGUCGCGCUAGAGUGCGGAAGGGGCUACUGGAAUUCUCGGUGUAGCGGUGAAAUGCGUAGAUAUCGAGAGGAACACCUGCGGCGGAGGCGGGUAGCUGGGCCGACACUGACGCUGAGGCGCGAAAGCCAGGGGAGCGAACGGGAUUAGAUACCCCGGUAGUCCUGGCCUUAAACGAUGGAUACUUGGUGUCCGGGGUUACAUAGUCCCCGGGUGCCGGCGCUAACGCAUUAAGUAUCCCGCCUGGGGAGUACGGUCGCAAGACUG